AGGAGCGGCGCGCUCGCCCCCGCCCGCCCGCACCUCUGGGGACUGGCGCGCGGAGUCGCGAGCCCGGGCUCCCUACUCAGCACUGCCCCGCGGGCUCUCAGCUGCCUCGCAACACUCGAUGCUUUGUUUCAGGCAAUCCAGACGGCUACUCGGAGCGCCCUGGGCGGCUGUGCGCGGCUGUGCCCGGCCACCACCGCGCGCGGUGCCCCGCCAUGCGCCAAAGACGCCAACCCACCUGAGCGCCGGCUGCACCAGCUGCGUGUAGUUGUAGCAUCGCUCCAGGACGAUUUCUUGAAAAUGGGCAGUGCUGCCCGUCCCGUUCCACUUCAUGGGCUCGGACGAGCGGCGCCGCAUCCGGAUUCCGACCACCACCGCGAUGACCCCCGCCGCCAGAAGACAUAGAAACAUGCAGAGACAGAUCUUGGCUUUCUUGGGUCUGGGGUCGGCCAUGGGGUCCAACGCGGGUCGCCCGGGCGAAGCUGGAGGCUGGGCAGGCAGGGAGGAGAGAGCUAGCCCGGUUCUGAAACUGCACUUCCCCUUUAUCUCUCACUUGCCUUUCCUCCGCUUCCUUUCCCACCCCUCUCACCUCCUUCAAAGUUCUUCGAUCGCGGUCGCUCGACCAACAAGGAUUUCAAGGUCUUAAAAAGCCUUCAGCACCUACUACAGCCGCUCACUUCUCGACUCCUGAGCAGAGAGCCACCACCUUGACCUUACUUGGCAGGCGCUCAAAGAACAGCGGGAGUGCAGCCGUGUACUCCUCAGCUGGCUCCCUUGAUCAAGCCGCACUUCACACUUUACCCACACCUGCUUCCUGGACAGCGUCAAGGCGACUGUCUGCCUCCGCACCUGUGUACAUGCAAUGCCUUCUGCCCGCAAAGGAAGGCUCUACCUCUACUUAUAACGUUGAGGAAGACCUGCUCAGCCCCCUGUAAAGGCUCUACUUAAGCCUUAUGCCUUCUCUCCAUCGGCAUCAGAUUAAGCUAUGGGUUCAAACUGAGCUCUGGCUGGGUGAUGUGGGCAAAAUGAAACUGAAAGAAAAUGGAAAAUUGUGUUUCUAAAGCCUACCAUCUCCCAGCCACCCACUGGAACUCCAGAUGAAUUCAUGUACAAUUGAGAUGGACCCAAUACUUAGUCAAGAGAUCCAUGUUAGCAGGACACCAAGAUACCUGGUGGCAAAGUCUUUUGGGAAUCUUGGUUCCUAGUGCAGGAGUAUGUGUAAAGAAAAAUAUGAUUAGAAAUCUAUCAUCACCAUUGGUCAAAUAGCCAAGAAGACUGCAAAAAGCAUUGCAGCACAACAGACAUGCCUAAACUCCUUAGCCCAAGUAAUAUUAGAUAACAGGAUUGCCUUAGAUUCUAUGCUGGCUAAACAAGCAGUUGUUUGUGCUAUUGCUCAUACUACUUGUUGCAUUUGUAUCCAUACCUCUGGAGCAGUUGAAAUUCACCUAGAAAAAAUUUCCCAAAAGAUAAAAUGGUUACAAGAUGUAAGACAAACUGACCCUUUAAAUGAGCUGUUCAGUUAGCUCCCCUCAGGAAUAGACAAUUUUUUCUGCUUUGCUUUAUAGAUGAUUGUCAUUGUCAUAGUAUGUAUUACUAUCUUUUCGUAGCUAUUAAACU
This is a long non-coding RNA of Balaenoptera ricei (Rice's whale), 1614 nucleotides long. RefSeq lists it as uncharacterized. The record is from RefSeq and is a predicted model, not a curated record. NCBI's taxonomy places the organism in Eukaryota, Metazoa, Chordata, Mammalia, Artiodactyla, Balaenopteridae. The transcript is spliced from 3 exons.